GGUGAUUCAACAGGGUCAUUCAUGAUGCCUCUUGUUUAGAGGGCAAUGCGUGCUAUGGGUCCUUUUUUCUAACACUUGCAGAAGAUUUCAGCCCCGGCCACGAUGUUUGCUGUCAGCGGAUGGAAAAGUCUUCCUCAAUUGAUGGUUCAUACCCCAUUCUUCUGAAGUGCUGGUUAUGUUCAAAACUCUGCCAGAAAAGGCAGCUUUUAAAGCCUUAAAGCGAACUCUACAACUGAUAGCUCCUCUGCAUGAUAUCGUGGCCUACCUUGUCAGUUUUGCUAAGCUUGGCAAUUGUCCAGCAUGUUUUGAAUUUCCUCGAAGUCCCAACCCUUUGAGAGGUGACUGGGGAGGAACUGAGGGCAUUGGGUCUGAGCUUCAAGAGCUGCAGAACAUGAUUGACAGCCUCCAGAGCCCCCAAGACCCUAUCCGGGUGGCCCAGGCACUCCUCCUCCGGAGGGAGGUUAUAUUUUUGCAGUUUGACGCUGCAGUAAGGCAUCUCAUCCGAAGAACAUUUUUGGCAGCUGGAAAUGUUCCUGCCUACCAGUCUGUCACAGACGGCAUGUGCCAUGGGCUACCAGCACUGAGCAACUCUCUCAGGAAGAGCAUUUUUGCCUCACAGCUCAGCCUGCCCCAGCCACUGGAUCCACGGAGCCUCCAGGCAUUUGAGCUGUUUCCUUGGAGAGCAUUUCUGGAAGAUGGAGGACCAUUCCCAGUUAUGAGUAACAGCCCAGAUACCCUAGAAUAUAAUAUGCAGCUGUGCCUCUGUGGGCUGAGUGACCGUGACCGCAAGGUGGCUCAUGGAGAACUGGUGGGUGUGCAACUGCUACUGGAAGAUGUUCUGAGUAGCUAUCAUGUGACCAUGGAGGCCCCCCAAAGACAGCAAGCCACACUGGGCAAAAAUACACAGCCAGAUUGGUCCAAAGUGCCAGGAUUCAGAAGUCAGUUCCGAAGCAGCCCAAAGACCUCUGAGCUGCUGGAGGGCCUGUGCGAUGCGGUGAUGUCCUUUGCUUUGCUGAGAUCAUUUCUGAUACUGUGGAAGCAGCUGGAAGUGCUAAAGGAGCACUGGGGCCGACUCAAGCUGCAAGGCCAGGAUAUCAACUCUGUCUCUCUCCACAAACGGUUUUCAGAGCUCUAUGAAACUGACGUUCUCUACCCCAGCAUGAAAGCUAUAGCCAGGCAGAUGGGGAAAGAAGAUGAAUUUGAAGGAUUUAUAGUAAAUAAUCAGUCUGUUCUUCCCCCCAGUGGAGCCUCAGAAGUUGAAAUAAAAACUCACCAAGUAUGCAGGAUAUAUUUUAAAUUUGCCUUUGAAAAUGUCCUUUAUGGCAUUAGCAUGUAAAACUACAGGCAUACCCAAAUGGUAUUUUUUCCAAGAAGCUGAGUGUAAAUUGCAGGGUUGUAAAUCAUUGAAUGGGCUGGAGGGAGGGCAGGACUAAGUAUUUAAAGCCAUGUGGUGCUUCGAUGAAGCAAAUUACUACCCUUAAUGUCCCUGUUCUAUAAGUCUGGAUUUUUAUCAUUUUGAUUUUCCUCAAAUUGAUGUGUACCUUCAUAAGAAUGAUCAUAGAAAACAUAACCACUAUCUUAAGCAUAAAAUUUAGCAUGCAAGUAUUCACAUGGAAAUGAAAUAUUUGUAAAAGCUCCCUGUAAUUGUUUUUCUGAGAAUAAGAAAAUGCCCAUUUGGUAUGUGUAA
This is a long non-coding RNA of Homo sapiens (human), 1687 nucleotides long. The record is from Ensembl. Lineage: Eukaryota; Metazoa; Chordata; Mammalia; Primates; Hominidae.